UACGGAGGAUGCGAGCGUUAUCCGGAUUUAUUGGGUUUAAAGGGUGCGCAGGCGGGAGAUUAAGUCGGCGGUGAAAUUUUGCAGCUCAACUGUAAAAGUGCCUUCGAAACUGGUUUCCUUGAGUGUAGAUGAAGUAGGCGGAAUUUGUGGUGUAGCGGUGAAAUGCUUAGAUAUCACGAGGAACUCCGAUUGCGCAGGCAGCUUACUAAACUACUACUGACGCUCAGGCACGAAGGCGUGGGGAUCAAACAGGAUUAGAUACCCGUGUA
RNAcentral lists this ribosomal RNA (269 nucleotides) under uncultured prokaryote. Its description in RNAcentral is "partial 16S ribosomal RNA". It matches the Rfam family "Bacterial small subunit ribosomal RNA", at positions 524 to 792 of the family's 1533-position model. The record is from RNAcentral.